AAAAAAAAAAAGAAAAACCAGCAGUAAAGGAGGAAAAGGAACAUCUUCCCCAAGCCAGAGCACAUGGAUAAUGUAACUGUGACACAGACACCCUCCCACGGGCUGCAGCUCCUACAAGAAAAGCAAGUAGCUGCUGAGCACAAGCACGUCCAUAUGGGAGGGGGAUGUUUUAAGUGCUGACACAGAUUUGGCUGACAAACGUGGUGCUGGCACACUGUCUCCUCUGAAAUAACAAAUGCUGCCGCAAAACGUGCUCUGCACUGCUGUGUCUGUCCCUGUGCACUGUGAAAGUGGCUCCCAGGGAGUUCACCCAUGAAGCUGAGAGUUCCAAAAAUCAAGACCUUUUGUUUGAAGUUUGGUCCUUUGGAAACGGCAGUCCUGCCAUUCCAGGUGACCUGGUGGUGUCCAUAGGGCAAUGCCAGCACAGACCCAUUCACAGCAAGAGGACAAUAGAUUCUUAAAUUAAUCUGAUUUUUUUCCCACAUGUUCUUACAGACACAUAAAUAAUGGGAUUAUUCCUUGCAAUUCCAGGAGAAGAGUAAUUUUGUCCUGUGCUGCAGCUCCCUGCCUACCUUGACAGAAGUCUGCUUUCCUGCUCUGAUCUCUAUGGUCAAGGUGUAGCUUAUCUUGGAAAGUGGAAUUGUGCUGCAGGGAGGGAACAAGGUUUUGGCAGGGCAAGGAGAACACCCAGAUACUGGCAGACAUUGAUGAGGACCCCUCUCAGUCAUAACUUCUCAAGGCUGAACAGCUCCAGCUCCCUCAGUCUUCCCUUGUGAGAGAGAUGUUCCAAUUCCUUUAUCAUCUUUGUAUCACUCUGUUGGAUCUGCUCCAAGAACUCCAUGUUUCUCUUGUACUGAGGAGCCCAGAACUGGACACAGCAUUCCAGAUAUGGCCGCACUAGAGGUGGAGGGGCAAGAUUUUGCCCUGCUGCCAAUGCUCUUCCUAAUGCAUCUCAGGAUACCAGUGGCCUUCUUGGUUCCCAGGGCACACUGCUGGCUAAGGGACAGUGUCUUGUUCACCAAGACUCCCUGGUCCUUCUCUGCAGAGCUGCUUCCCAGCAGGUUGACCCCCAGCAGGUUGGCCCCCAUCAGGUACUGGUGCAUGGAGUUAUUCUUCCCCAGGUGCACCAUCAUGGUAGAUGUUCAGGGAUUUAAACCACCAGACGGUGAUGGGCAGGAUUUGAGAAGAGAAAGGCAAAUAACACAAGCUUUAAAAAAUCACCAGUGAAACCACAGAGACAUAUCACAGAGAGGGGGGGAGCAGUUCUGGAGGCCCCCAGCCCCACAGUGACACCAUGCAGAGUAUAGGAGCAAGUGCCCCAGCAGCCCUACUUCAUGCUGCAGACAGAAAUAUCCAGGAUCCCCCCUUUCUGCCCAGCCCAAUCAGGAGGUGGCACAAGACCCAACGCUCUGCCAUGCACUUUGUAGUCUGAUGCCACCUCCUCCUUGGUGGGGCAAAAGGCUCUGUGUCACCAGCCUCAUGCUGCCAAGGCCACUGAACUCAGGAAAUUUAAUAAAAGCAGUGAGAACCAAUUGUGUUGCGAGUGUCAGGGAGGUGGCCCCCACCAUGCUGCUGCACCAUGUUGUCACAGCCACCAAGAGGGCAGAGUUCCUAGGAGAGCCAGAGGACACAGUGCUUCCUUCCCAGCAAGCUUCCGAAAAUCCAGCAGCUUGUUGGUGCUGAGGAGCUGCAUAGGAGGGGCACGAAAACCUCCAAAAAACCACCAGCCUCAGGGAAUGUGGUGAGGGAUGAGCAGGAAGAGGGGAUGCAGAGAGCAGCCUCCCUCCCAGCCCAGUGAUGUGUCCCUCACACAGUGAGGUGGGGACAGCGGAAAUCCUGGGACAAGGCACAGCCAGUUAGGCAGAGCAACUCACAGGGUGGUUUAGCAUUCCCUGUCACACCCAUCCGGUGUGGGAACAUUUGGGAACAUGGCCUGGUCACCACAGCUGCUGCAAUCUGCUUCCAGUGCUGGACAUGGGUCCUUACUGGUCCAAACUGGAAGUCAGGGCCUAGAUAACCAACAGCAGCUAGAGAUGGGAAAUGUGUGGAUUUACACACGCACACACACACACACACACACACACACACAGGGUUGUUUCCAUUCCCAGGGCAGCCCCAGUUUUGGUGGCCCGCAUCAUGUGUGGCCACCUCCUGCUACCUUGGGUGAUGCAUCCCAUGCCCAGCAGCCAAAUUUUGGCAACAUUUGGCUGAGUUGCAGGGCCAGAAAUCACAAUUAUUUCCCAUUACAUCCCCUGUCACCCUCCAGGCAAUUAUGCUGACACCCAACACCCAGGGCACUGGGGCCCAAUAAACACCCUUACAGCAACACAGAUGCUCUUUAAAGAUUUUUAUUUCUGCUUUAAAAUCAAAAUUAGUCAUUCUCUGUAAUUACAUUAUAUAUAGAUUUAUAGAGACAAUAUAGAAAAGAAUUUUUUGCUUUUGUUUUUCUGCAAAAAUCU
Lonchura striata (white-rumped munia) is the source of this 2459-nucleotide non-coding RNA. Lineage: Eukaryota; Metazoa; Chordata; Aves; Passeriformes; Estrildidae. The record is from RefSeq and is a predicted model, not a curated record.